GACGAACCGUGCGAACGUUAUUCGGAAUCACUGGGCUUAAAGCGCGUGUAGGCGGGCCGGCACGUCGGUCGCUGAAAUCCCCCGGCUCAACCGGGGAAGUGGCGCCGAUACGACCGGCCUGGAGGGGGGUAGGGGGGCGCUGGAACUCACGGUGGAGCGGUGAAAUGCGUUGAGAUCGUGAGGAACGCCCGCGGCGAAAGCGAGCGCCUGGACCCUUUCUGACGCUGGAGACGCGAAAGCCAGGGGAGCGAACGGG
RNAcentral lists this ribosomal RNA (256 nucleotides) under uncultured bacterium. RNAcentral describes it as "partial 16S ribosomal RNA". It matches the Rfam family "Bacterial small subunit ribosomal RNA", at positions 524 to 776 of the family's 1533-position model. The record is from RNAcentral.